AAAAAGUUUCAAGCAGGCAGAUCCAUUUUCUGCCACCGAAUACAUUAGCAUGGGAUAAUGGAAUAGGACCCUGUCCUCCUAUUUUCAGUUGGUUUUGGCAGCGCGAGGACUAGGGUAAUGAUUAAUAGGGAUAGUUGGGGGCAUUAAUAUUUAAUUGUCAGAGGUGAAAUUCUUGGAUUUAUGAAAGAUUAACUUCUGCGAAAGCAUCUGCCAAGGAUGUUUUCAUUAAUCAAGAACGAAAGUUAGGGGAUCGAAGACGAUCAGAUACCGUCGUAGUCUUAACCAUAAACGAUGCCGACCAGCGAUUAGGAGACGUUGAAUACAAAACACCACCAUCGGUGCGGUCGUCCUUGGCGUCGGUCUUUCGGGGCCGGCGCGGGGGCGGCUUAGCCCGGUGGCACCGGUGAAUGACUCCCCUAGCGCCUUGGUGAGAAAGGAAGAAAAAGGAGGUAG
Molecule: ribosomal RNA, 453 nt
Filed under: Acanthamoeba genotype T4
Lineage: Eukaryota; Discosea; Longamoebia; Acanthamoebidae
Description: SSU rRNA
Rfam family: Eukaryotic small subunit ribosomal RNA (bases 1-373)
Source: RNAcentral